GCGAGUUGAGAGAUUGAUCGCCAACACUGGGACUGAGACACUGCCCAGACUCCUACGGGAGGCUGCAGUCGAGAAUCAUUCGCAAUGGGCGAAAGCCUGACGAUGCGACGCCGUGUGAGCGAAGAAGGCUUUUUUUAGUUGUAAAGUUCUUUCGCCCGUGAUCAAGAGAGGUUGACCAAUAAUCAACCAAUUUGAGGGUAGCGGGUAAAGAAGCACCGGCUAACUCCGUGCCAGCAGCUGCGGUAAUACGGAGGGUGCGAGCAUUAAUCGGAUUUAUUGGGCGUAAAGGGCGCGUAGGCGGGAAAGUAAGUCAUGCGUGAAAUUACGAGGCUCAACCUCGUAGCUGCACAUGAAACUACUUUUCUGGAGAAUUGGCGGAGAAAAUGGAAUUCCAUGUGUAGCGGUGAAAUGCGUAGAUAUAUGGAAGAACACCUGUGGCGAAAGCGGUUUUCUAGCUUAUUUCUGACGCUGAGGCGCGAGAGCAAGGGGAGCGAACAGGAUUAGAUACCCUGGUAGUCCUUGCCGUAAACGAUGUAUACUUGGCGUAACUGGUCUCAACCCCAGUUGUGUCGUAGCUAACGUGUUAAGUAUACCGCCUGGGGAGUAUGCCCGCAAGGGUGAAACUCAAAAGAAUUGACGGGGACCCGCACAAGCAGUGGGACAUGUGGUUUAAUUCGAUGCUACGCGAAGAACCUUACCCAGGCUUGACAUGUAAAAGACGCCAUCAGAGAUGAUGGCUUCGUAAGACUUUUAUACAGGUGCUGCAUGGCUGUCGUCAGCUCGUGCCGUGAGGUGUUGGGUUAAGUCCCGCAACGAGCGCAACCCUUAUCGUUAGUUGCCAACAUUUCGGAUGGGAACUCUAACGAGACCGCCUCGGUUAACGGGGAGGAAGGUGAGGAUGACGUUAAGUCAGCAUGGCCCUUAUGUCUGGGGCUACACACGUGUUACAAUGGCCGAUACAGAAAGUAGCAAUACCGCGAAGUGGAGCAAAUCUUUAAAGUCGGUCCCAGUUCGGAUUGCAGUCUGCAACUCGACUGCAUGAAGUUGGAAUUGCUAGUAAUGGCGCGUCAGCUACAGCGCCGUGAAUACGUUCUCGGGUCUUGUACACACCGCCCGUCACAUCAUGGAAGUUGGUUCUACCCGAAGUCACUGACUCAACCGCAAGGAGAGAGGUGCCUAAGGUAGGGCUGGUAACUGGGAUGAAGUCGUAACAAGGUA
RNAcentral lists this ribosomal RNA (1218 nucleotides) under metagenome. RNAcentral's name for it is "bacterial SSU rRNA". It matches the Rfam family "Bacterial small subunit ribosomal RNA", at positions 287 to 1498 of the family's 1533-position model. The record is from RNAcentral.